This 723-nucleotide ribosomal RNA is filed under the name Stenotrophomonas hibiscicola. Its description in RNAcentral is "bacterial SSU rRNA". It matches the Rfam family "Bacterial small subunit ribosomal RNA", at positions 22 to 734 of the family's 1533-position model. Lineage: Bacteria; Pseudomonadati; Pseudomonadota; Gammaproteobacteria; Lysobacterales; Lysobacteraceae. The record is from RNAcentral.
GCUCAGAGUGAACGCUGGCGGUAGGCCUAACACAUGCAAGUCGAACGGCAGCACAGAGGAGCUUGCUCCUUGGGUGGCGAGUGGCGGACGGGUGAGGAAUACAUCGGAAUCUACUCUGUCGUGGGGGAUAACGUAGGGAAACUUACGCUAAUACCGCAUACGACCUACGGGUGAAAGCAGGGGAUCUUCGGACCUUGCGCGAUUGAAUGAGCCGAUGUCGGAUUAGCUAGUUGGCGGGGUAAAGGCCCACCAAGGCGACGAUCCGUAGCUGGUCUGAGAGGAUGAUCAGCCACACUGGAACUGAGACACGGUCCAGACUCCUACGGGAGGCAGCAGUGGGGAAUAUUGGACAAUGGGCGCAAGCCUGAUCCAGCCAUACCGCGUGGGUGAAGAAGGCCUUCGGGUUGUAAAGCCCUUUUGUUGGGAAAGAAAUCCAGCUGGCUAAUACCCGGUUGGGAUGACGGUACCCAAAGAAUAAGCACCGGCUAACUUCGUGCCAGCAGCCGCGGUAAUACGAAGGGUGCAAGCGUUACUCGGAAUUACUGGGCGUAAAGCGUGCGUAGGUGGUCGUUUAAGUCCGUUGUGAAAGCCCUGGGCUCAACCUGGGAACUGCAGUGGAUACUGGGCGACUAGAGUGUGGUAGAGGGUAGCGGAAUUCCUGGUGUAGCAGUGAAAUGCGUAGAGAUCAGGAGGAACAUCCAUGGCGAAGGCAGCUACCNGGAC